Molecule: long non-coding RNA, 492 nt
Filed under: Rattus norvegicus (Norway rat)
Lineage: Eukaryota; Metazoa; Chordata; Mammalia; Rodentia; Muridae
Description: long non-coding RNA NONRATT012249
Source: RNAcentral
UAAGUAUUUAUUACUGUACUAAAGAUGCAACACUGCUAACACGUUUAGAGAAUGGUACUACCUGGUUUGAAGAUUUUAAAGCUCUACUAACCAGGAUGGUUCAGCACUGCUGUGAAGACCAUCGAACACAGGAGCAGACCAGAAUGCAGGAUCCAGAAGUACACUCACACGGACAAGUUUUGGUAAAGGAGACGAACCAACGCAUUUGGUAGAACAAAGCCUUAUUUUAAAGGGAACACUAAUAGGACACUUUUAAUAGUGCUGAAAUGACUUGUGUAGAUACAAGAGAAAUGCAACUGAAGGCUCACAAUGGCAGAAGUAAAAAUAGUUGCUGGCUGCCUGCAUGUGAGGGAAAAAGCUCAAGGCAACUUCUGGUGGACAAGGUAACUUCCAGUGGAUGAGGCAACUUCCGGUGGCCGAGGUAACUUCCAGUGGAUGAGGCAACUUCCGGUGGCCGAGGUAACUUCCAGUGGAUGAGGCAACUUCCGGUGG